UUAGGGAGCUACCAUUUGAUUUUUAUGGGGGGGCUAGGAUGAAAAAUUUUGUCCUGCAUUUUAUUUUUAGCUGUAAUCUCUGUCCUGCCUUUUUAUUUUUCACUCUGUUCGGUCCUGCUUUUUUUUUUAGUUUAUCCUGACUUUUUAUUACCUAAAUUGUGGUCCUGACUUUUUUUUUUUGCAAGUGUCUCAUCCUGCCUUUUUUUUUUUACUCAAAACUCCUGUCCUGCCUAUUUUUUUUAAAUUCCAUCCUAGCCCCCCCCCCCC
This 267-nucleotide long non-coding RNA is filed under the name Mytilus galloprovincialis (Mediterranean mussel). The record is from RNAcentral. Lineage: Eukaryota; Metazoa; Mollusca; Bivalvia; Mytilida; Mytilidae.